Molecule: ribosomal RNA, 472 nt
Filed under: uncultured bacterium
Lineage: Bacteria
Description: bacterial SSU rRNA
Rfam family: Bacterial small subunit ribosomal RNA
Source: RNAcentral
AUCCUUCGGGUGAUUUAGUAAGAGGACAGCGGCGGACGGGUGAGUAACGCGUGGGUAACCUGCCCUAUACACAGGGAUAGCCUCGGGAAACCGGGAUUAAUACCUGAUAAAACUCUAGUAUGGCAUCAUACAGGAGUCAAAACUUUAGUGGUAUAGGAUGGACCCGCGUCUGAUUAGCUAGUUGGUAAGGUAAAGGCUUACCAAGGCGACGAUCAGUAGCCGACCUGAGAGGGUGAUCGGCCACACUGGAACUGAGACACGGUCCAGACUCCUACGGGAGGCAGCAGUGGGGAAUAUUGCACAAUGGGCGAAAGCCUGAUGCAGCAACGCCGCGUGAGCGAUGAAGGCCUUCGGGACGUAAAGCUCUGUCCUAAGGGAAGAAUAAUGACGGUACCUUAGGAGGAAGCCCCGGCUAACUACGUGCCAGCAGCCGCGGUAAUACGUAGGGGGCGAGCGUUAUCCGGAAUCAUUG